Castor canadensis (American beaver) is the source of this 2410-nucleotide non-coding RNA. NCBI's taxonomy places the organism in Eukaryota, Metazoa, Chordata, Mammalia, Rodentia, Castoridae. The record is from RefSeq and is a predicted model, not a curated record.
AUGCUAAUGCUCUUUCAUCAUUGUCACCUCUCUCAGGAAAAAGCUCCAGUAGAAAGUCACACGUUUGGAAGCCUCCCUCCCAAAGUCCCAGGACACCAUGCUUCUGUGGAUGACAACCCCUUUGGCACUCGAAAAGCCAGAUCGUCCUUUGGUCGGGGCUUUUUUAAAAUCAAAAGUAGCAAGAGGACAGCAAGUGCACCAAACCUGGCUGAAACACAAAAGGAGACAGCGGAGCACUUAGAUUUGACUGGUAUAUCUUCUCGGGCAAAAGACUUACAGGAGACCAGACCAUUCCAGAUGUCUCCACCAUCUCCAGAUUCCAGAAAGAAAUCCAGAGGUAUCAUGAGACUCUUUGGAAAACUUAGGAGAAGUCAGUCAACUACAUUCAACCCAGAUGACAUGUCUGAACCCGAAUUCAAAAGAGGAGGGACAAGGGCAACUGCAGGGCCCUGACUGGGUUGGUCUCGAGAUUUGGGACAGUCUAACAGUGACUCGGAUAUGCCAUUUGCCAAAUGGACCAAGGAGCAGGUUUGCAAUUGGCUUGCAGAACAAGGCUUGGGUCCUACCUGAAUUCUGGCAAGCACUGGAUUGCAUCUGGCCAAACACUUUAGCAGGAUUCUCAACAAAAUCUAGAGAAGGAACUUGGAAUCAGGCAUUCACUUCAUCGAAAGAAACUGCAGCUGGCACUGCAAGCCCUGGGAUCCGAAGAAGAAACAAAUCACGGAAAGCUGGAUUUCAACUGGGUCACAAGAUGAUUGGAUGAUAUUGGCCUCCCCAGUGUAAGACCCAGUUUGAUGAAGGACGGGUGGAUGGUCGAAAGCUACAUUACAUGACUGUUGACGACUUACUGUCUUUGAAGGCUGUGAGUGUGCUGCAUCAUCUCAGUAUCAAGAGGGCCAUCCAGGUCCUGAGGAUCAAUAACUUUGAACCAAACUGCCUUCGGAGGCGGCCAUCUGACAAGAAUAACAUCACGCCAUCCGAGGUUCAGCAGUGGACCAAUCAUCGAGUGAUGGAGUGGCUGCGCUCUGUGGACUUGGCAGAAUAUGCCCCUAAUCUCAGAGGCAGUGGUGUCCAUGGUGGUCUCAUGGUUUUAGAACCUCGUUUUAAUGUAAAAACAAUGGCUCAGUUAUUGAACAUCCCACCUAAUAAGACCUUGCUGCGAAGACAUUUGUCCACUCAUUUCAACCUUCUGUUUGGUGUGGAGGCUCAGCACCAGAAGCGAGAUGCCAUGGAGUUACCAGAUUAUGUACUUUUAACAGCCACUGCCAAAGUGAAGCCAAAGAAACUUACCUUUAGCACUUUUGGCAAUCUGAGAAAAAAGAAACAGGAAGAUGGAGAAGAAUAUGUUUGUCCAAUGGAAUUGGGACAGGCGUCAGGAAGUACCUCUAAAAAGGGAUUUAAACAUUGUUUGGACAUGGGCCUGUAUGAUGAAGAUAAUUUGGACCAGUUAGAGCAGAUGGAAGAUUCAGAAGGGACAGUAAGACAGAUAGGUGCGUUCUCUGAAGGCAUCAACAACCUUACACACAUGUUAAAGGAAGAUGACAUGUUUAAAGAUUUUGCUGCCUGCUCCCCCAGUGCCAGCAUUACAGAUGAAGACUCAUUAGUUUUCAAAUAGUGUAUACAAAAACCAACAGAUUGUAUAUUGUUUCUUGUUCACACUUCUGCUCAUUCAGAAGCGGAAAUGGAAGGCAGGGGACUCAUGCCUGUUCUGAAGUUGCCACGAAAAAUGAGACACUGGUGAAUGAGAGUAUAAUUGCUUUACUCUAUUUAAUGUAAAAAUCUGUGAGGUAUUAUAUUUAAAGCUGCAUUUAAGAUGAGUGUUUUACCAUAGUGUUUCAUUCACAUCCCCAGUGUGGAGGGCUUGGGGAGCAGUAACCAGUAUGUGAAUGACUUUGUCACAUCAUUGUGUUACUGCAGUCAUAGAAGCAGGACAUCUGUGCUCUCAAAGUAAUUCAUCAUGCAGAGUUUCCAGAAACAUUCAUUGUGCCUGCUAAAUGCCAACUAUACCUCUGCUUGCCUCUUACUGUCUUGUUUUUAUAUAUUUUUUUAAGUAUAUGUAUAUAUACCAUACAUAAAAAUAGAACUUUUAUUUUGUGACCUAAGGAAGACAAUGAAAAGAUCAUAUUAAAAACAAAAGCAAAAGAACAGUGAUCUAAAUUUUCACAUAGCAGCUGAUUUCUGAAGAGAUCAGAAUGGUCUUUCUUUUUCUACAACUGAAUUUUUACAAUGUUCAUCCUUCAGACUAAACUAAUAUACAUGAAAUAUGUGUCUUUGAUGACAGCAUAGAAUUGUUGAAGUUUAAGAACUUCACCUUUACCAGGCAUCAGUGGCUCAUGCCGUAGCCUCGCUACUCCAGAGGCAGUGAUCAGGAAGAUCGCAAUACGAGGCCAGCCUGGGCAAAUAGUUUGUG